Molecule: RNA transcript, 2718 nt
Organism: Pan troglodytes (chimpanzee)
Lineage: Eukaryota; Metazoa; Chordata; Mammalia; Primates; Hominidae
Gene: MVK
Gene name: mevalonate kinase
Exons: 13
Source: RefSeq, a predicted model, not a curated record
ACCACGAUUCACGGCAGGUGUUCGAGUUACCCUUCCCGCCAGCCACUCACCUGUCCCCGUCUUCCACGCCCUGAGGGCCGCGGCUCUGGAAACGGGGAUACAGGAGCCUGGCGGCGCCGAAGCACCCGCGCAGGCCAAGACGGCUCCCCAGGCCCCACACAGCCAUGAGCCAGGCUGCUUGACGGGAGCUGACCCCGCCAGGUUCCCGUCCAGUCCCCGGGGUGACUCCACCCACAGCUGGCCGCGCCACCGCUCAGCUUUCAAUUUUUAUUGGUUCGCAGUUCUCACCCCAGGGCGGGACACUCCCAGGGACUUGUUUCCCAUUGGUUUAACGGAAGGAGCGGGGCGGGAAAACCCGUGUCGGCUUGGCUGCAACACCUAUUGACCAAUGUUCAAGCCUAUUGGUAAAGGAUUCCCAGGAGCCAUGUUGUCAGAAGUCCUACUGGUGUCUGCUCCGGGGAAAGUCAUCCUUCAUGGAGAACAUGCCGUGGUACAUGGCAAGGUAGCACUGGCUGUAUCCUUGAACUUGAGAACAUUCCUCCGGCUUCAACCCCACAGCAAUGGGAAAGUGGACCUCAGCUUACCCAACAUUGGUAUCAAGCGGGCCUGGGAUGUGGCCAGGCUUCAGUCACUGGACGCAAGCUUUCUGGAGCAAGGUGAUGUCACAACACCCACCUCAGAGCAAGUGGAGAAGCUAAAGGAGGUUGCAGGCUUGCCUGACGACUGUGCUGUCACCGAGCGCCUGGCUGUGCAGGCCUUUCUUUACUUAUACCUGUCCAUCUGCCGGAAGCAGAGGGCCCUGCCGAGCCUGGAUAUCGUAGUGUGGUCGGAGCUGCCCCCCGGGGCGGGCUUGGGCUCCAGCGCCGCCUACUCGGUGUGUCUGGCAGCAGCCCUCCUGACUGUGUGCGAGGAGAUCCCAAACCCGCUGAAGGACGGGGAUUGCGUCAACAGGUGGACCAAGGAGGAUUUGGAGCUAAUUAACAAGUGGGCCUUCCAAGGGGAGAGAAUGAUUCAUGGGAACCCCUCCGGAGUGGACAAUGCUGUCAGCACCUGGGGAGGAGCCCUCCGAUACCAUCAAGGGAAGAUUUCAUCCUUAAAGAGGUCGCCAGCUCUCCAGAUCCUGCUGACCAACACCAAAGUCCCUCGCAAUACCAGAGCCCUUGUGGCUGGUGUCAGAAACAGGCUGCUCAAGUUCCCAGAGAUCGUGGCCCCCCUCCUGACCUCAAUAGAUGCCAUCUCCCUGGAGUGUGAGCGCGUGCUGGGAGAGAUGGGGGAAGCCCCAGCCCCGGAGCAGUACGUUGUGCUGGAACCGCUGAAAUGUGCAACUCGGCUCCUGGACAGCUUUGCACUCAAACCAGCGAACUGUUCUCCUGUGUCACAACCUGUCAUCUGAUCCUUGACAGAUUUUGGAUCAGAAUGUGACAGGUGUCUGGAACCUGCCUCGGCAACGUGACACCUGGUGCUCAGGCGCAGAGAGCGGCCCCCAGAAGUCUUCUCUCACAUCCAGCCCAUCAGGCUGGUGAGAGGCACCCGGGGCUGCCACCAGGCCAUCAUGCCUGUCUGCUCAUUUGUCAAAAAUGUCACCAGUGCCAGAGGCUUCUGUGACCAGCCCUAGGAUAUGUGCUCACUGCUGUGGUGAAGGUAUGCUCAGCUCUACCCAAGCUCCGUGAGAAACGCUGCAGGGCAGAAGGAUUCUUUUACAAGUGGAGAGGGCCAGGGUGCCAGGAGCUCAUUGACAUGAACCAGCACCAUCUGAAUGCCCUCGGCGUGGGCCACGCCUCUCUGGACCAGCUCUGCCAGGUGACCAGGGCCCGCGGACUUCACAGCAAGCUGACUGGCGCAGGCGGUGGUGGCUGUGGCAUCACACUCCUCAAGCCAGGGCUGGAGCAGCCAGAAGUGGAGGCCACGAAGCAGGCCCUGACCAGCUGUGGCUUUGACUGCUUGGAAACCAGCAUCGGUGCCCCCGGCGUCUCCAUCCACUCAGCCACCUCCCUGGACAGCCGAGUCCAGCAAGCCCUGGAUGGCCUCUGAGAGGAGCCCACGACACUGCAGCCCCACCCAGAUGCCCCUUUCUGGAUUAUUCUGGGGGCUGCAGUUCGACUCUGUGCUGGCCAGCGAGCGCCCAGCUCCUGACACUGCUGGAGAGGCCCCAGCCGCUUGGCGAUGCCAGCCGAGCUCUGCAGUCCCAGCGGUGGGACCUAGGGAGGCAUGGUCUGCCCUCUGCAUCCUCUGGAGCCAGCCGAGCAGGAGGCCUAGGAGGUCCUCUGAGACUCCAGACCUGAGGCGAGAAGGGCUGCUUCCCUGAAGCUCCCACAGUCCCAUCUGCUUCAGGCCCCCGCCUUGGCCUGUGUUCUUCCUGGCCGCCUGGGUCCGAUGCUCAGAUGCUGGGGCCUGGUUCCCGGAGAAGUGUGCCUUCUCUCUCCCUUUUCAGGGACCGCCCCCUGUCUCUCAGGGCCAGGCCUCUUCCUCCUCCUCCAGGAAGCCUUCCCCUACCCCUUGUCGCCCCUCCCUCCCAGAGCACCUGCUGUCUGGGUGGCUCACUCAGCACUUGGUGUGGCCUUCCCUUCUACCUAGCGGGAUGGGGCUCCCCAGGGGCUGUCCCGGAGGCGGUGGGCCUGGUUAAAUAAGGCAGGGUUUAUAUGCACUUUCUUCCAAUCUGUACCUGAGAGGUUUGUGGAAAAGAUGGCAAAUGGGGAAUAAAAAGAUUUUGUGUCAACA